AACCUUCCUUUUAAUUUAAAAAAAUGGCCACCACACAUGCUCAAAUGACUUCUGCAAGGCCCUGGAUCAUGCCAGGCCUCAUACAGGCCAUUUGAGCAUGUGCGGCAGCAGGCAAAAUGGUCACCGUGCCAAUUUACAGAGGCCCGAACAGGCCAAAAAGGAAGGUUUUAUAGGCCGCAGUGGUGAUAAACAAGGCCGGCAGGGGGAGGGGGAACCUUCACGGACCCCCACCCCAUGGCCUUUAGGAAGCCCCCUGAAGGGGCUACAGGAGACCAGCCCAACAGGAAGCAACUCCAUCAUCCUCGUGACAAACUGCAGUACAUUUAGAGGCUGGCCAGAGCAGGGGAGGAGCACAAGACACCGGAGAACAAAUCAGGCUGCUGCUGCUGCUGCUCCUGCUGGGAGAGGGCAGGACUAGCAGCACAGAGAAGUUAACCCUUUUUUUAACUCUGCUGCUACCAAGGAACUGCUGCUGAUCUGGAUACAAAUUCACAGGGUGUGCAACUGCACCCUUUCAACCCCACCUGGAUCCAUCCCUGGCUGUGCUGCCCUGAUCUAGUCCAAUUUCCUGGCAUGAGAGGAUAUCUUUUGGACACUUCAGUCAGACCUGAUGUAACAUUAGAACACAGAUGAAAGUGAAUUUUUAUGUUACAACUAAAAUAAAGUUGAAGUUGCCUCCAAAACAGUAUUUAAUUUAAUGGUGUAUUGAAAUAAUGCAAUAAAAACAAAAUUAUUAAAUACAUAUUUGAACCCAA
Long non-coding RNA from Hemicordylus capensis (graceful crag lizard), 755 nucleotides. RefSeq lists it as uncharacterized. The transcript has 2 exons. The record is from RefSeq and is a predicted model, not a curated record. Lineage: Eukaryota; Metazoa; Chordata; Lepidosauria; Squamata; Cordylidae.